Molecule: ribosomal RNA, 160 nt
Filed under: Fusarium sp.
Lineage: Eukaryota; Fungi; Ascomycota; Sordariomycetes; Hypocreales; Nectriaceae
Description: partial large subunit ribosomal RNA
Rfam family: Eukaryotic large subunit ribosomal RNA
Source: RNAcentral
CGGCAACAGCUCAAAUUUGAAAUCUGGCGUCUUCGACGUCCGAGUUGUAAUUUGUAGAGGAUACUUUUGAUGCGGUGCCUCCCGAGUUCCCUGGAACGGGACGCCAUAGAGGGUGAGAGCCCCGUCUGGUUGGAUGCCAAAUCUCUGUAAAGUUCCUUCG